RNAcentral lists this ribosomal RNA (379 nucleotides) under Stellarima microtrias. Its description in RNAcentral is "SSU rRNA". It matches the Rfam family "Eukaryotic small subunit ribosomal RNA", at positions 1380 to 1757 of the family's 1831-position model. Lineage: Eukaryota; Bacillariophyta; Coscinodiscophyceae; Coscinodiscales; Coscinodiscaceae. The record is from RNAcentral.
UCCGUGAAUGAAUUUCAUUGACGAGAUCUUCUUAGAGGGACUUUUGGUGACUAACCAAAGGAAGUUGGGGGCAAUAACAGGUCUGUGAUGCCCUUAGAUGUCCUGGGCCGCACGCGCGCUACACUGAUGCAAUCAACGAGCUUAUAACCUUGGCCGAGAGGCCUGGGCAAUCUUGUAAACCUGCAUCGUGAUAGGGAUAGAUUGUUGCAAUUUUCAAUUUUCAACGAGGAAUUCCUAGUAAACGCAGAUCAUCAAUCUGCAUUGAUUACGUCCCUGCCCUUUGUACACACCGCCCGUCGCACCUACCGAUUGAAUGGUCCGGUGAAGCCUUGGGAUUGUGGUUUGGUUGCCGUCUUCGGAACCAGACUGUGAGAACUUG